UCAGACACGUCAGAGUUUGAUCCUGGCUCAGGACGAACGCUGGCGGCGUGCCUAACACAUGCAAGUCGAGCGAAGGAUAUAUGAGGAAAUCUUCGGAUGGAAUCAUAUAAACUUAGCGGCGGACGGGUGAGUAACGCGUGAGGAACCUGCCUUGCACAAGGGGAUAGCCUCGGGAAACCGGGAUUAAUACCCUAUGAUACAAUAACAAGGCAUCUUGAGAUUGUUAAAGCUCCGGCGGUAAGAGAUGGGCUCGCGUCCCAUUAGCUAGUUGGUGAGGGUAACGGCCCACCAAGGCGACGAUGGGUAACCGGCCUGAGAGGGUGAACGGUCACAUUGGAACUGAGACACGGUCCAA
RNAcentral lists this ribosomal RNA (355 nucleotides) under uncultured bacterium. RNAcentral describes it as "bacterial SSU rRNA". It matches the Rfam family "Bacterial small subunit ribosomal RNA", at positions 1 to 334 of the family's 1533-position model. The record is from RNAcentral.